UACGAAGGGAGCUAGCGUUGUUCGGAAUCACGGGGCGGAAAGCGCACGUAGGCGGCUGUGUCAGUCAGGGGUGAAAUCCCGGAGCUCAACUUCGGAACUGCCUUUGAUACAGCACGUCUUGAGUCCGAUAGAGGUGGGUGGAAUUCCUAGUGUAGAGGUGAAAUUCGUAGAUAUUAGGAAGAACACCGGUGGCGAAGGCGGCCCACUGGAUCGGUACUGACGCUGAGGUGCGAAAGCGUGGGGAGCAAACAGG
RNAcentral lists this ribosomal RNA (253 nucleotides) under uncultured bacterium. RNAcentral describes it as "partial 16S ribosomal RNA". It matches the Rfam family "Bacterial small subunit ribosomal RNA", at positions 524 to 776 of the family's 1533-position model. The record is from RNAcentral.